RNAcentral lists this ribosomal RNA (496 nucleotides) under uncultured bacterium. RNAcentral's name for it is "bacterial SSU rRNA". It matches the Rfam family "Bacterial small subunit ribosomal RNA", at positions 899 to 1397 of the family's 1533-position model. The record is from RNAcentral.
ACUCAAAUGAAUAGACGGGGGCCCGCACAAGCGGAGGAACAUGUGGUUUAAUUCGAUGAUACGCGAGGAACCUUACCCGGGAUUGAAAUGUACCUGACGUACAGUGAGAGCUGUAUUCCGCAAGGCAGGUAUGUAGGUGCUGCAUGGUUGUCGUCAGCUCGUGCCGUGAGGUGUCGGCUUAAGUGCCAUAACGAGCGCAACCCUGACUGUCAGUUGCUAACAGGUCAUGCUGAGGACUCUGGCGGGACUGCCGGCGUAAGCUGCGAGGAAGGUUGGGAUGACGUCAAAUCAGCACGGCCCUUACAUCCGGGGCGACACACGUGUUACAAUGGCAUGGACAAAGAGUGGCUACCCGGCGACGGGAUGCUAAUCUCCAAACCGUGUCUCAGUUCGGAUCGGAGUCUGCAACUCGACUCCGUGAAGCUGGAUUCGCUAGUAAUCGCGCAUCAGCCAUGGCGCGGUGAAUACGUUCCCGGGCCUUGUACACACCGCCCGU